GAUGAACGCUGGCGGCGUGCCUAAUACAUGCAAGUCGAGCGAACAGAUGAGGAGCUUGCUCCUCUGACGUUAGCGGCGGACGGGUGAGUAACACGUGGAUAACCUACCUAUAAGACUGGGAUAACUUCGGGAAACCGGAGCUAAUACCGGAUAAUAUUUUGAACCGCAUGGUUCAAUAGUGAAAGACGGUUUUGCUGUCACUUAUAGAUGGAUCCGCGCCGCAUUAGCUAGUUGGUAAGGUAACGGCUUACCAAGGCGACGAUGCGUAGCCGACCUGAGAGGGGGAUCGGCCACACUGGAACUGAAGAACGGGCCAGGAUCCUUAGGGAGGCAGCAGUAGGGAAUCUUGCGCAAAGGGCGGAAGCUUUACGGGGGAACGCCGCGUGAGUGGAGAAGGUCUUCGGAUCGUAAAACUCUGUUAAUAGGGAAAAACAAAUGUGGAAGUAAAUAGGCACGUCUUGACGGUACCUAAUCAGAAAACCACGGCUAACUACGUG
Molecule: ribosomal RNA, 497 nt
Filed under: uncultured bacterium
Lineage: Bacteria
Description: partial 16S ribosomal RNA
Rfam family: Bacterial small subunit ribosomal RNA
Source: RNAcentral